Molecule: non-coding RNA, 749 nt
Organism: Pantherophis guttatus
Lineage: Eukaryota; Metazoa; Chordata; Lepidosauria; Squamata; Colubridae
Source: RefSeq, a predicted model, not a curated record
CCAUUUAGAAUGUCCAUUGUCCUGAAGCGCAACCAUAUGUCAGCAUUCUAGAAUGCUCCAGACUUUGUACUGCAUUAGCAAAAGUUAAGUAGGGUUAGCACCAUGAGCUGUUUGGUGGCAAUCUACUUUUCCUUGGCUUCUAAGAGCAAGAGUUACUUGCUAAUAAAUUUAAGACCAUUUGUUGCCUCAACUAUUCCAAAGUGAAAGUAAAGUACACUUGGCUCUCUACUGAAAAUGAAUAGCAAGCCAAAAUCAAUACAGAUUCCAAUUUUACUAAAUGAUGUCACUUAUGACUCAUUCUUCAGGAAGCCAAAUUUAGCCAAUACCUACCACAGUAUGACAGGGCCAUGAUAUAUUUAAAUUCAGCUGCUUCCAAGGAAAGCUAUUGCUGCAAUAAUUCACAAGUCAAUAAGCCAUUGACUUUUAAAAUAUGGAUCUGAACAAAUAAGAUCUUGCCACAGACUUCCUGAAAAGUAUCUGAAUGAAGAAAGCUCAUAAAUACUUUUAAAGAAAUUAGUGAAUCACAGGUUGUCAACCUUUCCAGGUAGACCAGAAAGACCAGGUGCCGGAGCUGAAGGCACUGCUCGAGCCGUUUGUGCGUCUGAUCAGCAUUCAGCUCCAACUCGUGCUGUUUCUCAUGAAGGAAUUCCAGCAGCUCUUGCACUUGGAUUGCUAGAUCGAUGUCCUUUUCACAGAUCAGUUCAAUUCCUGGAACAGAAUAAACGUCCUCAGAUGGGAAAAAAACCCUA